RNAcentral lists this transfer RNA (71 nucleotides) under Yasminevirus sp. GU-2018. It matches the Rfam family "tRNA". Rfam says of the family: Transfer RNA (tRNA) molecules are approximately 80 nucleotides in length. Lineage: Varidnaviria; Bamfordvirae; Nucleocytoviricota; Megaviricetes; Imitervirales; Mimiviridae. The record is from Rfam by way of RNAcentral.
GUUCCUAUAGUUUAACGGAAGAACGGGAGACUUCUAAUCUCUUGACCUGGGUUCGACCCCCAGUAGGAACA